AUUGAACGCUGGCGGCAGGCCUAACACAUGCAAGUCGAGCGGUAGAGAGGUGCUUGCAUCUCUUGAGAGCGGCGGACGGGUGAGUAAUGCCUAGGAAUCUGCCUAGUGGUGGGGGAUAACGUUCGGAAACGGACGCUAAUACCGCAUACGUCCUACGGGAGAAAGCGGGGGAUCUUCGGACCUCGCGCCAUUAGAUGAGCCUAGGUCGGAUUAGCUAGUUGGUGAGGUAAUGGCUCACCAAGGCGACGAUCCGUAACUGGUCUGAGAGGAUGAUCAGUCACACUGGAACUGAGACACGGUCCAGACUCCUACGGGAGGCAGCAGUGGGGAAUAUUGGACAAUGGGCGCAAGCCUGAUCCAGCCAUGCCGCGUGUGUGAAGAAGGCCU
RNAcentral lists this ribosomal RNA (387 nucleotides) under uncultured bacterium. Its description in RNAcentral is "bacterial SSU rRNA". It matches the Rfam family "Bacterial small subunit ribosomal RNA", at positions 30 to 417 of the family's 1533-position model. The record is from RNAcentral.